GGGGGCGACACGGUUUCGACGGGUUCGUGGAAACUUGCGUCGCGUGCCGAGGACCCCGGUUGGCCUCGAUAAUCAUCCGGGAAAACAAACACAAAAGCCAACGACGAAUUGGCCCUCGCGGCUUAACUCCCGCGACGUCCGACCACUUCCGCCUGCGCGGUGGAUCCGGGCGACGACAGCAGGCUGGCGACUGCCUCCGGGUUUCCGGGAGGGAGCGCGAGAACCCAACAGGGAACUGGCGGUGGUCCUGGCCCGUCCGCGGGCAGGGACCGUGGCGAGACUCAAACGCGGAACACGCACGUAGAAGCGCAAGGGAAACGGAUUCGGACGCGGGUUCGACUCCCGCCGCCUCCACCA
RNAcentral lists this transfer-messenger RNA (357 nucleotides) under bovine gut metagenome. It matches the Rfam family "transfer-messenger RNA". From Rfam's summary of the family: Bacterial tmRNA, also known as 10Sa RNA or SsrA, is named for its dual tRNA and mRNA-like properties. Its role is to liberate the mRNA from a stalled ribosome. To accomplish this part of the tmRNA is used as a reading frame that ends in a translation stop signal. The record is from RNAcentral.